GCAGGCGUAGCUUCAAGCGGUUGAGCGCCGCCUUGGUAAGGCGGAGGGUGUGGGUUCGAGUCCCACCGCCUGCUCCA
RNAcentral lists this transfer RNA (77 nucleotides) under Thermotogota bacterium. Its description in RNAcentral is "Thermotogae bacterium tRNA-Thr". It matches the Rfam family "tRNA". Rfam says of the family: Transfer RNA (tRNA) molecules are approximately 80 nucleotides in length. Their secondary structure includes four short double-helical elements and three loops (D, anti-codon, and T loops). RNAcentral also lists the same sequence under 2 other names. The record is from RNAcentral. Lineage: Bacteria; Thermotogati; Thermotogota.